Molecule: ribosomal RNA, 253 nt
Filed under: uncultured bacterium
Lineage: Bacteria
Description: partial 16S ribosomal RNA
Rfam family: Bacterial small subunit ribosomal RNA
Source: RNAcentral
UACGAAGGGUGCAAGCGUUAAUCGGAAUUACUGGGCGUAAAGCGUGCGUAGGUGGUUUGUUAAGUCUGCUGUGAAAGCCCUGGGCUCAACCUGGGAAUGGCGGUGGAUACUGACAAGCUAGAGUGCGGUAGAGGAGGGUGGAAUUCCCGGUGUAGCGGUGAAAUGCGUAGAGAUCGGGAGGAACAUCAGUGGCGAAGGCGGCCCUCUGGACCAGCACUGACGCUGAGGCACGAAAGCGUGGGGAGCAAACAGA